RNAcentral lists this transfer RNA (73 nucleotides) under Operophtera brumata (winter moth). It matches the Rfam family "tRNA". From Rfam's summary of the family: Transfer RNA (tRNA) molecules are approximately 80 nucleotides in length. Their secondary structure includes four short double-helical elements and three loops (D, anti-codon, and T loops). The record is from Rfam by way of RNAcentral. Lineage: Eukaryota; Metazoa; Arthropoda; Insecta; Lepidoptera; Geometridae.
CGUUCUAUGGCCGAACUGGUGAAGGCAUCGCCAGUUACAGGCGAAGAUAAGGGUUCGAGUCCCGCUGGAACGG